RNAcentral lists this ribosomal RNA (468 nucleotides) under uncultured bacterium. RNAcentral's name for it is "partial 16S ribosomal RNA". It matches the Rfam family "Bacterial small subunit ribosomal RNA", at positions 28 to 507 of the family's 1533-position model. The record is from RNAcentral.
GACGAACGCUGGCGGCGUGCUUAACACAUGCAAGUCGAACGGAAAGGCCCUGCUUUUGUGGGGUGCUCGAGUGGCGAACGGGUGAGUAACACGUGAGUAACCUGCCCUUGACUUUGGGAUAACUUCAGGAAACUGGGGCUAAUACCGGAUAGGAGCUCCUGCUGCAUGGUGGGGGUUGGAAAGUUUCGGCGGUUGGGGAUGGACUCGCGGCUUAUCAGCUUGUUGGUGGGGUAGUGGCUUACCAAGGCUUUGACGGGUAGCCGGCCUGAGAGGGUGACCGGCCACAUUGGGACUGAGAUACGGCCCAGCCUCCUACGGGAGGCAGCAGUGGGGAAUAUUGCACAAUGGGCGGAAGCCUGAUGCAGCAACGCCGCGUGCGGGAUGACGGCCUUCGGGUUGUAAACCGCUUUCGCCUGUGACGAAGCGCGAGUGACGGUAAUGGGUAAAGAAGCACCGGCUAACUACGUG